Molecule: long non-coding RNA, 307 nt
Filed under: Gossypium barbadense (sea-island cotton)
Lineage: Eukaryota; Viridiplantae; Streptophyta; Magnoliopsida; Malvales; Malvaceae
Description: long non-coding RNA (GBAR_LNC008645)
Source: RNAcentral
GGACUCACAGCCUUGGGAUCAUGAUAUCGGAUAUGAUGGUGUUAGCCUCGAAAGAAGUCUUGCUAUAGCGGGUUAUUAUCCGGGGGCAUUUGCUGUUCAAAUCACAAAGGAUAAAAGAGAAUUCAACAUCCAUUUGGAAUCUUCAGUCUGUACUAAACAUGGAGAGAAUGUAUCUACCAUGGCAGGACUCGACGUCCAAACUGUCGGAAAACAGCUUGCUUACAUCUUCAGGGGCGAAACGAAAUUUAGAAAUUUUGAAAUAAACCGAACUACUGCUGGUUUAUUGGUUACUUUCCUAGGAGAAAAU